RNAcentral lists this ribosomal RNA (230 nucleotides) under uncultured bacterium. RNAcentral's name for it is "partial 16S ribosomal RNA". It matches the Rfam family "Bacterial small subunit ribosomal RNA", at positions 15 to 238 of the family's 1533-position model. The record is from RNAcentral.
GAUAUGGCUCAGGACGAACGCUGGCGGCGUGCCUAAUACAUGCAAGUAGAACGCUGAAGGAGGAGCUUGCUUCUCUGGAUGAGUUGCGAACGGGUGAGUAACGCGUAGGUAACCUGCCUGGUAGCGGGGGAUAACUAUUGGAAACGAUAGCUAAUACCGCAUAAGAGUAGAUGUUGCAUGACAUUUGCUUAAAAGGUGCAAUUGCAUCACUACCAGAUGGACCUGCGUUG